UGAUUUUUCUAUCGUUACUUUGCCUUCCCUGUCAUUCUUUUAAAUGUAAAAUCUGUAAUUAGCUUUGGAAUUUUUAACAUUUCUUGGAUUAAACUGAUGAAACUUCACUUUUUUACAAUCUGAUGAUUUUCUUCAUUGCUAUGAUCUUUUAGUAUUGGAGUCAGAUCAUAUUUUCUAUAACUUUGGAUGAUUGUGUACACAAUACGGUGUAUUGAAAUUCAAGUUUAGGCUCUCUUUGGCCGAUACCAUGGGC
Molecule: long non-coding RNA, 253 nt
Organism: Ipomoea nil (Japanese morning glory)
Lineage: Eukaryota; Viridiplantae; Streptophyta; Magnoliopsida; Solanales; Convolvulaceae
Exons: 3
Source: RefSeq, a predicted model, not a curated record